AAUGAAGUGCCUGAUCUAAAAAGGAUUAUUUUGAUAGAAUAAAUCAUGUAAAUAUUUUACCUUCAUUA
RNAcentral lists this transfer RNA (68 nucleotides) under Carabus lafossei. RNAcentral describes it as "tRNA-Ile". The record is from RNAcentral. RNAcentral also lists the same sequence under 2 other names. Lineage: Eukaryota; Metazoa; Arthropoda; Insecta; Coleoptera; Carabidae.